This 465-nucleotide ribosomal RNA is filed under the name uncultured bacterium. RNAcentral's name for it is "bacterial SSU rRNA". It matches the Rfam family "Bacterial small subunit ribosomal RNA", at positions 329 to 792 of the family's 1533-position model. The record is from RNAcentral.
UACCAGACUCCUACGGGAGGCAGCAGUGAGGAAUAUUGGUCAAUGGACGCAAGUCUGAACCAGCCAUGCCGCGUGCAGGAAGACGGCUCUAUGAGUUGUAAACUGCUUUUGUACGAGGGUAAACGCAGAUACGUGUAUCUGUCUGAAAGUAUCGUACGAAUAAGGAUCGGCUAACUCCGUGCCAGCAGCCGCGGUAAUACGGAGGAUUCAAGCGUUAUCCGGAUUUAUUGGGUUUAAAGGGUGCGUAGGCGGAAUGCAAAGUCAGCGGUAAAAUCGCGGGGCUCAACCUCGCUCCGCCGUUGAAACUGGCGUUCUUGAGUGAGUGAGAAGUAAGCGGAAUGCGUGGUGUAGCGGUGAAAUGCAUAGAUAUCACGCAGAACGCCGAUUGCGAAGGCAGCUUACCGGCGCUCAACUGACGCUGAGGCACGAAAGUGCGGGUAUCGAACAGGAUUAGAUACCCCUGUA